UCAAUUCCUUUUUGUUUUAUCAAAUAGUGCAAGCUUUCCUUUCACGUUCUGCAUAUCAAUUUCACAUUCACAUACAGUGAGAGUUUGAGUGUGAGUUGUGAGUGUGUGUGGAGUGGGACCUGAACCAACAUAUAUAUAUAUGUAUGUAUGUAUAGGUGUUUGUGAGGGGGUGAGGCCUGGCUUGGGCGGCUGUGGGCGGACGAAGAGGACGGCCCUGGACCGGCGACGGAGCAAGGGGGUGGCAAGGAUGGGGCGGCGGCAAGGGGAUGGGCCUGGGGACGAGCCCCAUACCGUCCGGUCUAAGUAUCCCUAUUAUGCCAUGAUCAGUUAGCCUGGUACUUCCAACACCUCAUGCUACUCAUCCUAAUCCAGAGGUAUAUUACGAAGUAGACUUGUUCUCACCUGGAGUAUCGGGGAAUAUGCUUCCAUUUUGAGCACGUGCAUGGGGGCAGUGACCGUUAUGAUGAACAUGGGUGUUUAGCGUGAAGUUCGGAUAGUUAGUUGCUUAGGAUUAGCCAGAUAUUCUAUGGGGUAUUGAGCUUGAAACAAGUUUACAACACACACACUCGCAUACAUUCUCUCUCGAACACAGCUCUCAAACACACUAGAAUUUUCAUUGUAACAAGCUCAAUAUCAUCCAAAGUUGUAACCUUUAUUGUUCAAUAUAGUUGGUGA
RNAcentral lists this long non-coding RNA (675 nucleotides) under Helianthus annuus (common sunflower). The record is from RNAcentral. Lineage: Eukaryota; Viridiplantae; Streptophyta; Magnoliopsida; Asterales; Asteraceae.